This 444-nucleotide ribosomal RNA is filed under the name uncultured soil bacterium. RNAcentral's name for it is "bacterial SSU rRNA". It matches the Rfam family "Bacterial small subunit ribosomal RNA", at positions 26 to 518 of the family's 1533-position model. The record is from RNAcentral.
AGAACGAACGCUGGCGGCAUGCCUAACACAUGCAAGUCGAACGAGACCUUCGGGUCUAGUGGCGCACGGGUGCGUAACGCGUGGGAAUCUGCCCUUGGGUUCGGGAUAACAGUUGGAAACGACUGCUAAUACCGGAUAAUGACUUCGGUCCAAAGAUUUAUCGCCCAGGGAUGAGCCCGCGUAGGAUUAGCUAGUUGGUGAGGUGAAGGCUCACCAAGGCGACGAUCCUUAGCUGGUCUGAGAGGAUGAUCAGCCACACUGGGACUGAGGCACGGCCCAGACUCCUACGGGAGGCAGCAGUGGGGAAUAUUGGACAAUGGGCGAAAGCCUGAUCCAGCAAUGCCGCGUGAGUGAUGAAGGCCUUAGGGUUGUAAAGCUCUUUUACCCGGGAUGAUAAUGACAGUACCGGAGAAUAAGCCCGGCUAACUCCGCGCCAGCAGCCGC